UCGGCAACUGACUUGUUGGAACCUUCAUCAGAUGGUCCAACCACUGGAUCGGAUCCGGGUUCAUUCGGGUUAGCCUGCAAGGAUGGUGGUUCGGUAGAUGAUGGAGCCGUCGACUUGUCGGUUCCUGACUUGCAUUGCUUUUCAAACAUCAUCUGAAGAUAUCUGCCUUGUUCUUCUAUUCUCAGCUGUAGGUACCCCAUAAAUGGGUUAAUUUGGGCUUAUAACUUAUUAUAUAUUUUAUCUUGAAAUUUUAAUAUAAUCAUAGUUGCCCAACAAAAAAUCAUUAUAUCAAAUAUACCCAUUUUCACAUUUAUCACAAGCGCGCGCACACACACAUAUGAGAUGUAUAUAAUAAUUAUAUAUAUCAUUUGGUUAUUUUUAUGAUAACUAUGUAUGGAAAUAUUGAGCACUCAAUUACAUAUUGAUUAUAUAGAAUAAAAUUUAUUAUAUUAUACAAAUCAUAGACUCAUUUAUAUAAAAUAGAUUCAUAGUUAAUGAAAUAGGUAAAUAUGAAAUUUUAAGUGUUUUGAACGGGUAUAGUCGAUAUUAAUCUUUUCUGUUAGAUGAAUAUGGAAUUGCCCCAUAUUAAUAACUGUUAAAAUAAGUAAAACAAAAAACUGAGCAAAAAAGAAUACUUUUAGUCACUCGAGUUAUAAAAAUAUAUUUAAAAGUCACUCGAGUUAAGACUUAUAAGUGUUUAUAACCUCCUAAAUUGCUCUAUCUAAUAAUAACUCUCGAUCAUCAUUUUAAUAAAAGUUUUUGUAAUCAUAAGUAAGAUAUCCGUUAUUCAUGAAAUUAAAAAAAGGGCAGUAAAAUAAAAUGGAGUUUUCUAAAUAAGCAGGUUACACAAGAGUAAACCAUACCUCAAGUUGUUCAUGCAACCUCUUCUGAACUUCCAUUUGAAGUCGUAAUGCUUCGGUGAUCUCCAAACCCCUGUUAAAUGCAAAACUAAUAAUCAAGCACUGAACAUGCAUUAAGAAAAGUAAUUAGCUGAUAUUGAAUAAUCAGAAUAAAAAAUAAAAAAGAACAGUUGCAACAAAAUGCUUCGUAGAAACUAGAAGAUAGUGUUUGGAUGUGCUUCUUAUGAAAUUGUAAAAAUAAGAUGUUUGGAAAUUUUUUAAUUAUUUAAGAAUAUAAUCGAUAAAAUAGACGAAAAAAGACAUUUUUAUCGAUAGAAAAUACACUUUUUAUGAAAUGAACGUAAGUCUUAUGUUGAAAGAAAGGUAAAUAGGUGAUUUCAUUUUAAAUUUAAAACUGAUUUUAGUGACUUCAAAAGUUCAAAUAGUAAUAGUCAGAUAAUCAGUUGUAAAACACAAAUCCAAACACCCUUAAACUUCUUAUUUCAAUUAAUAAAACCCAAUAUGGGCAAUGAAAAUCUCUCGGAUGAAGCAAUGCUUAUAAAAUGCAAUAUAUUAUGCUAACAUUUUAAUAAAUUUAACUUACGUUUUCAACUCUAAAGAUGAGAAAUCUUCAACAGAAGUCGUUUUUUUCUCCAAAGGUCCUGCAAUAAUGAUCGACUAAUUAAUCGUAAACAAAUUUAUAUAAUCAUAUUCUUUUUCUUUAACAUAUAGCCAAAAGAUAGAUGAAAUAAAAUGCUAGGAAAUAUUAAUGGGUCUCACAAGGAUAAAAAACGAGGCAAGAUUUUGCUUACCUUCUGAUGACGGCUCGGGUCUAUAUCUAGCCGUCCGAUAUUUCUGCAAAAAAUAAAUAAAUAUAUUUUGCACCACAUG
This 1730-nucleotide long non-coding RNA is filed under the name Helianthus annuus (common sunflower). RNAcentral describes it as "hypothetical non coding rna". The record is from RNAcentral. Lineage: Eukaryota; Viridiplantae; Streptophyta; Magnoliopsida; Asterales; Asteraceae.